RNAcentral lists this ribosomal RNA (596 nucleotides) under Herbaspirillum huttiense subsp. huttiense. RNAcentral's name for it is "bacterial SSU rRNA". It matches the Rfam family "Bacterial small subunit ribosomal RNA", at positions 64 to 653 of the family's 1533-position model. The record is from RNAcentral. Lineage: Bacteria; Pseudomonadati; Pseudomonadota; Betaproteobacteria; Burkholderiales; Oxalobacteraceae.
CGACGGCAGCAUAGGAGCUUGCUCCUGAUGGCGAGUGGCGAACGGGUGAGUAAUAUAUCGGAACGUGCCCUAGAGUGGGGGAUAACUAGUCGAAAGACUAGCUAAUACCGCAUACGAUCUACGGAUGAAAGUGGGGGAUCGCAAGACCUCAUGCUCCUGGAGCGGCCGAUAUCUGAUUAGCUAGUUGGUGGGGUAAAAGCCUACCAAGGCAACGAUCAGUAGCUGGUCUGAGAGGACGACCAGCCACACUGGGACUGAGACACGGCCCAGACUCCUACGGGAGGCAGCAGUGGGGAAUUUUGGACAAUGGGGGCAACCCUGAUCCAGCAAUGCCGCGUGAGUGAAGAAGGCCUUCGGGUUGUAAAGCUCUUUUGUCAGGGAAGAAACGGUAGUAGCGAAUAACUAUUACUAAUGACGGUACCUGAAGAAUAAGCACCGGCUAACUACGUGCCAGCAGCCGCGGUAAUACGUAGGGUGCAAGCGUUAAUCGGAAUUACUGGGCGUAAAGCGUGCGCAGGCGGUUGUGUAAGUCAGAUGUGAAAUCCCCGGGCUCAACCUGGGAAUUGCAUUUGAGACUGCACGGCUAGAGUGUGUCA